Molecule: ribosomal RNA, 465 nt
Filed under: uncultured bacterium
Lineage: Bacteria
Description: partial 16S ribosomal RNA
Rfam family: Bacterial small subunit ribosomal RNA
Source: RNAcentral
GAUGAACGCUGGCGGCGUGCUUAACACAUGCAAGUCGAACGGAAAGGCCCAAGCUUGCUUGGGUGCUCGAGUGGCGAACGGGUGAGUAACACGUGGGUGAUCUGCCCUGCACUUCGGGAUAAGCCUGGGAAACUGGGUCUAAUACCGGAUAGGACCACAUUUUGGAUGGUGUGGUGGAAAGUUUUUCGGUGUGGGAUGAGCUCGCGGCCUAUCAGCUUGUUGAUGGGGUAAUGGCCUACCAAGGCGUCGACGGGUAGCCGGCCUGAGAGGGUGUACGGCCACAUUGGGACUGAGAUACGGCCCAGACUCCUACGGGAGGCAGCAGUGGGGAAUAUUGCACAAUGGGCGCAAGCCUGAUGCAGCGACGCCGCGUGGGGGAUGACGGCCUUCGGGUUGUAAACUCCUUUCGCUAGGGACGAAGCGCAAGUGACGGUACCUGGAGAAGAAGCACCGGCUAACUACGUG